This 324-nucleotide ribosomal RNA is filed under the name Thalassiosira antarctica. RNAcentral's name for it is "partial Bacterial large subunit ribosomal RNA". It matches the Rfam family "Bacterial large subunit ribosomal RNA", at positions 810 to 1129 of the family's 2925-position model. Lineage: Eukaryota; Bacillariophyta; Thalassiosirophyceae; Thalassiosirales; Thalassiosiraceae. The record is from RNAcentral.
UGUGGGUAGGGGUGAAAGGCCAAUCAAACUCGGAAAUAGCUCGUACUCCCCGAAAUGCAUUUAGGUGCAGCGUUGAUAUAGAGUCUUAUAGAGGUAGAGCUACUGAUUGGGCUAGGGGGCUUCACCGCCUACCAAACCCUGACAAACUCCGAAUGCUAUAAGAUAUGAUCAGCAGUGAGGGCAUGGGUGCUAAGGUCCAUGUCCGAAAGGGAAAGAACCCAGAUCAUCAGCUAAGGUCCCUAAAUGUAUGUUAAGUUGUUCAAACGUGGUCCGAUUGCUUAGACAGCUAGGAUGUUGGCUUGGAAGCAGCCAUUCAUUUAAAGA